RNAcentral lists this ribosomal RNA (252 nucleotides) under uncultured bacterium. RNAcentral's name for it is "partial 16S ribosomal RNA". It matches the Rfam family "Bacterial small subunit ribosomal RNA", at positions 524 to 776 of the family's 1533-position model. The record is from RNAcentral.
UACGUAGGUCCCGAGCGUUGUCCGGAUUUAUUGGGCGUAAAGCGAGCGCAGGUGGUUUAUUAAGUCUGGUGUAAAAGGCAGUGGCUCAACCAUUGUAUGCAUUGGAAACUGGUAGACUUGAGUGCAGGAGAGGAGAGUGGAAUUCCAUGUGUAGCGGUGAAAUGCGUAGAUAUAUGGACGAACACCGGUGGCGAAAGCGGCUCUCUGGCCUGUAACUGACACUGAGGCUCGAAAGCGUGGGGAGCAAACAGG